UCCUAUCAAUUACAACCGUCAUUUACAAACUUGUAUACAAAUAAGAUUCAAAACUAACUCAUAUACAUUUGCGUUGGUAAUGAACAACAGUAGAACUACACAUUCAAGUUCUUCCAUUUAUGCGCAUGUGAAGUGUCACUUCACAAGGAUGGAUUUGACCAACUGAUGAUCAGAUUCAUCCUUUAGCCAUUCUUUAACCCUCCUUUAAGUGUGAAUCAACAAUGACACCAAAAAAAAGAAAGGAAAACACAACAAGAAUUCAGUCCACUUAAGCGGAAACAGGACAUAUAUAUUUCUCAUAAUAAAUAAGUUGAAAACUUGAAGUUCAUAAAGAGAAAUGGAAGCAUCACAGAUACUCUUAGCAUUAUUUUUAGAAAAUUUGCAAAGAAUAGGCAGUAAUUCAAAUGGUUAACCACAUUUGCAAACAUAAACCAAUCAAAUGCCAAUAAUGGAAAUCUACUAACGAAUGGACUGAUUCUUCAACAUAAUAACUGUUAUCUCCUCAUAAAAGUUGUCAUACACCUAAAACCAUCAAAGAGCUGGUAGUAGAUUACCUCAAGACAGCUUAAAGGGAGGGAUUUAUGACCAAAUGAAAUCCAGCAAACUCAGAACAACAACAACAAAACCCCCAGAAUAUUUGACUAAAACCAACUUUAAAUAGCAGGGAUCAUGAACUAGGGAAGCAUAGAGCCAUUUCUAUUUUCAGAUUCACUUGGAAAAACUCAUAAAAAAGGAAGAAAAAUCAAUGUGAAAAUCCAACUCUUUUCUAGAAUUCCUUGUGUUUUAAAGAUGCCUUUUAAAAUUGCCUAAUACUGAU
Molecule: long non-coding RNA, 817 nt
Filed under: Nicotiana tabacum (common tobacco)
Lineage: Eukaryota; Viridiplantae; Streptophyta; Magnoliopsida; Solanales; Solanaceae
Description: long non-coding RNA (NTAB_LNC015498)
Source: RNAcentral